Gopherus flavomarginatus (Mexican gopher tortoise) is the source of this 489-nucleotide long non-coding RNA. RefSeq lists it as uncharacterized. NCBI's taxonomy places the organism in Eukaryota, Metazoa, Chordata, Testudines, Testudinidae. The transcript has 3 exons. The record is from RefSeq and is a predicted model, not a curated record.
AGGGGGGAUGGAUGGAGGGGUGUGUGGAGGGGUGUGGAUGCAGGAUGGAUGGUGCAGUUGGGUGGAUGGAGGUGGGAUGAAGGGGGGGUGUGGAUGCAGGAUGGAUGGUGUGGUUGGAUGGAAGGAUGGAGGGGGGGGGGGAUGGAUGGAGGGGUGUGUGGAGGGGUGUGGAUGCAGGAUGGAUGGUGCGGUUGGGUGGAUGGAGGUGGGAUGAAGGGGGGGUGUGGAUGCAGGAUGGAUGGUGCAGUUGGGUGGAUGGAGGUGGGAUGAAGGGGGGGUGUGGAUGCAGGAUGGAUGGUGUGGUUGGAUGGAAGGAUGGAGGGGGGGGGGGAUGGAUGGAGGGGUGUGUGGAGGGGUGUGGAUGCAGGAUGGAUGGUGCGGUUGGGUGGAUGGAGGUGGGAUGAAGGGAGGGGGGGAUGUGUGGAGGGGUGUGGAUGUGGGAUGGAUGGUGCAGUUGGAUGGAGGGAGGGCGUUAAGGGGGGAUGGAUG